RNAcentral lists this ribosomal RNA (251 nucleotides) under uncultured bacterium. Its description in RNAcentral is "partial 16S ribosomal RNA". It matches the Rfam family "Bacterial small subunit ribosomal RNA", at positions 80 to 334 of the family's 1533-position model. The record is from RNAcentral.
CCAAAAGCUGGCGACCGGCGCACGGGUGAGUAACACGUAUCCAACCUGCCUCAUACUCGGGGAUAGCCUUUCGAAAGAAAGAUUAAUAUCCGAUAGCAUAUAUUUCCCGCAUGGGUUUUAUAUUAAAGAAAUUCGGUAUGAGAUGGGGAUGCGUUCCAUUAGUUUGUUGGGGGGUAACGGCCCACCAAGACUACGAUGGAUAGGGGCUCUGAGAGGAAGGUCCCCCACAUUGGAACUGAGACACGGUCCAA